CCACUAAUGCUUUGUAUGUUUCUGGACCUCACAGAUUUGUCACCAGGACUACAGAGAGCAUAGGAAGUCCUUCAAGGAAGCAACGCUGAAAUGAACAUUCCUAUCAUCUAAUCCUUGGGAACAUCUCAUACACUGACAAUCUCAGGGAGGAGACCUGGAAUACUGUCAUCUGGUAGCUGGGAAAACCUGCCAAAAGCAAUGUCAGCACGCAUCUGAGCCACCUUGCCUUGGGCAAAACCAGUUCCUGCAACCUGAACAUAGGUAUAUUUACUAAGCUUAGUGACAAUCUUUGAAGCCAUGCACACUGAUCAAGAAAAAAAAAAUCAUAAUUGUUCCCUGACAAAAAAUAAAGGUUCCAAGGGAAUCCAGAUGUCAGAGGUCUAAGCACAGUUAAAACUGGCCUCAGGUAGAUCAAAGGGCUAACUCCAGGGAAGAGUAGAAGCCAUUAUGGACACUGACUGAAACCAAAUAAACACACCAACCUUUGAGUAGCUG
Molecule: long non-coding RNA, 495 nt
Organism: Mastomys coucha (southern multimammate mouse)
Lineage: Eukaryota; Metazoa; Chordata; Mammalia; Rodentia; Muridae
Exons: 2
Source: RefSeq, a predicted model, not a curated record